UGGAGAAAAUUCUGGAGAUGUCCUACAGCAAGUAUAAAUAGAGGUGCUGAUUGUACAAAAAAAGUACACACACACGAAAUCAUUCCAAAAGAUCCCAAAAAUCAGUUUGUAUGUGCAGGAGCAGCAGCACUGCAAGUUCAAAAAAAAUCAUUGUAAUCCCAAAGCUUGAUAUUGAAUAAAAUCCUUGCAAUUCCAAAUUUUCUACUUAGCAUCAAAGUCUAUUCUCAUCUUUUUAUUUUUCCGUCACAUCUUUUGCUCACUCUCAUCCACUCACACUUCCGCUGUCCCCAACAAAUUUGGUAUCAGAGCUUGUUUAGUAUCCGCUUCAUUCCUUAUUUUCCUUCCUAGUGCUACUGAUGGCAUCAAUUCCAGCCCCUACCAUGUUUAGAUAUUCUCCAAGUCAAGUCCCUAUCUUUGAAGGGGAAAACUAUGACUACUGGAGUAGCGAAAUGGAGAAUUUUUUCGUAUCUGAAGACGUGUGGGAAGUUAUUGAGAAAGGCAUGCCAGAUCAACCAGAAGUUGCGACACAAGCAGCACAAAAGCAGCAUAAGGAGAACAAGAAAAAAGACGCAACGGCACUCCGCUACAUCAAACAAGGGGUAAGCAAAUCAAUCUAUCCUAGAAUUUUUAAUGCAAAGAGUGCAAAAGAAGCAUGGGAUGUGUUGAAAGAUGAGUUUCAAGGAAAUGAAAAAAUUGUUUCCAUAAAGCUGCAAUCUUUGUGGAGAGAUUUUGAUAACUUAUUGAUGAAAGAAAGUGAAUGCAUUAGAGAUUUUCUCUCUAGAGUUGCUGAGAUUGUCAAUCAAAUUAAAAGCCAUGGUGAAGCCAUUCAAGAUAAAAAGGUGAUUGAGAAAAUACUCAGGAGUUUACCUCCAAAAUUUGAUCAUUGUGUUGCUACCAUAGAAGAAGCUAAAGACUUGUCAAAAAUUACUAUGUUUGAACUAAUGGGUUCACUCCAAGCACAUGAGCAGAGAAUUAACAGGUCGUCGAGCCAACCCAUCGACCAAGCUUUUCAAUCCAAACUCCAUUUCAACACCAACAAGGCAAACAAGCAGGAGCAAGCGAAAAAAGGAGGGUCAUUCCAAAAGAAGAUGUACGGCCAGCCAAACCAAAAUGAAGGUGAGGGCAAAGCAAAUCAAAGAGGAGAAAAUCAGCAACAAAGAUCUGGUAAUCCGCAACAAAGAGCUGGUAAUUACAACUCUAGUUGCCGCACUGCAAAAGGUCUAAUCACCAAACAAAAGAUUGUCGAUUCAAAUGCAAGAAAUGCAGAAAUCCUAAUCACUCUCAAAGGGAUUGCUGGUUUCAACAGAAAAAGGAAAGUGCUGAAGCAAAUUUCAUGACAAAUGAGCCCGAACAACUUUUUUCUUGCAUGAAUGUCCAGGAAGAAUCUCAGGAUGUUUGGUACUUGGACAGUGGGUGCAGCAACCACAUGACAGGGAAUCGUGAUAUCUUUGUGGAGCUUGAUCAGAACUUUGCUUCGCAGGUGAAACUUGGAGAUGGAAAGCUGCAAAGUGCUGAAGGCAAAGGAGUAAUUUCUGUCCGCACAAAGGGAGCUCUUGCAGAAAAACAGAGUGGGCAUGAAAUUAAGACUCUUCGGACUGACCGAGGAGGAGAAUUUAUCUAUACUCCAUUCAUGGACUAUUGCAAAGAAAAUGGAAUUCAGAGGCAGCUCACUAUUAGAAGAAGUCCGCAGCAAAUGGUGUUGCAGAGAGGAAAAAUCGGACCAUUGCGAAGAUGGCUCGGAGUAUGUUAAAGGGCAAAGGACUACCCAACAAGUUUUGGGCCGAGGCUGUUAAUUCAGCAAUUUAUAUCCUCAAUCGAUCUCCCACAAAAGCUGUUCGCAACAAGACUCCAUUUGAAGCCUGGAAUAAAAGGAAGCCGGUGAUUGAUCACUUAAGAGUUUUCGGCUGCAUCGCAUAUUCUUUAAUUCCAUCCAAAGACAGAGAAAAGUUUGAUGAGAAAGGAGAAAAGCUCAUCUUCAUUGGCUAUAGUGAUGAGUCGAAAGGAUAUCGGUUGUUCAAUCCAAAUACAAACAAGCUGAUUGUUUCUAGAGAUGUGGUGUUUGAUGAAAUGGCAGCUUGGAGCUGGGAUGGAAACACUUC
RNA transcript from Rhododendron vialii, 2099 nucleotides. RefSeq lists it as uncharacterized. The record is from RefSeq and is a predicted model, not a curated record. The transcript has 2 exons. NCBI's taxonomy places the organism in Eukaryota, Viridiplantae, Streptophyta, Magnoliopsida, Ericales, Ericaceae.